This 253-nucleotide ribosomal RNA is filed under the name uncultured bacterium. RNAcentral's name for it is "partial 16S ribosomal RNA". It matches the Rfam family "Bacterial small subunit ribosomal RNA", at positions 524 to 776 of the family's 1533-position model. The record is from RNAcentral.
GACGUAGGGCGCGAGCGUUGUCCGGAUUUAUUGGGCGUAAAGAGCUCGUAGGCGGUUUGUCGCGUCGACUGUGAAAACCCGAGGCUUAACCUCGGGCCUGCAGUCGAUACGGGCAGACUAGAGUUCGGUAGGGGAGACUGGAAUUCCUGGUGUAGCGGUGAAAUGCGCAGAUAUCAGGAGGAACACCGGUGGCGAAGGCGGGUCUCUGGGCCGAUACUGACGCUGAGGAGCGAAAGCGUGGGGAGCGAACAGG